UCUGCGUCACGCUGCUCGCCCGCGGGCGCCCGCACUUGCACGCACGUCUUGGCGCCGGGUUGCCAGCGGUGUCCGGCUAGCAGUGACCGCCGCGGGGGGUGCAACCGUUGUCCUGAGCCGUCCGCCGCAUCCCGGGUGUGCGGGCAUGCAUGGCUUGUGUCUUUGGGGAGAGCGUCA
Molecule: ribosomal RNA, 177 nt
Filed under: Giardia duodenalis
Lineage: Eukaryota; Fornicata; Diplomonadida; Hexamitidae
Description: Giardia intestinalis partial small subunit ribosomal RNA
Source: RNAcentral